GACGAACGCUGGCGGCGUGCUUAAUACAUGCAAGUCAACUGAACUUUAGGUAGCAAUAUUUAAAGGGAGGUGGCGCACGGGUGAGUAACACGUAGGUAAUCUGCCUUCAGGACUGACAUAACUCCGCGAAAGCGGGACUAAAAUCAGAUGAUGCAGCGGCUCGACAUCGAGACAGUUGUUAAACCUUCGGGGCCUGAAGAUGAGCCUGCGUCUGAUUAGGUAGUUGGAGGGGUAAUGGCCCACCAAGCCUGCGAUCAGUAGCUGGUCUGAGAGGAUGAUCAGCCACACUGGAACUGAGACACGGUCCAGACUCCUACGGGAGGCAGCAGUAAGGAAUAUUGCUCAAUGGCCGAAAGGCUGAAGCAGCAACGCCGCGUGGAGGAUGAAAUACUUUAGUAUGUAAACUCCUGUAAGAGGGGAAAAAUAUACAGUUCUGCUGUAUUGAUUGUACCCUCAGAGUAAGCACCGGCUAACUACGUG
RNAcentral lists this ribosomal RNA (480 nucleotides) under uncultured bacterium. RNAcentral describes it as "bacterial SSU rRNA". It matches the Rfam family "Bacterial small subunit ribosomal RNA", at positions 28 to 507 of the family's 1533-position model. The record is from RNAcentral.